RNAcentral lists this long non-coding RNA (568 nucleotides) under Homo sapiens (human). RNAcentral describes it as "HAUS5 divergent transcript (HAUS5-DT)". Lineage: Eukaryota; Metazoa; Chordata; Mammalia; Primates; Hominidae. The record is from RNAcentral.
GUAAUCUUAGCGCGGUCAGGCUGGGUCUUGCAGCGCUCACUCUUCCCAGGAUGCUUUUUGGAACCCAUCCACCAUCUGAGAGAUAAUAAGAAGCUUCUCUAGGACUUGUGAUUUUGGUUUCAGCAGCUCCUUCCACGUUUGAGAAGAGUCUUCUCAUUUCUUACUCAUAGAACAUCCCAUCAGACAUUUCUCCUGAUCCACAUAGUAAUUCAGGGAUCCAGGCUUCUUCCAUAAGGUGAUUCAACCAUCUUCUAUGGGCUCAGAGUCUUUUGAAUCCAGGCAGAAGAGAGAAUAAGGAACUCGCACCUGCUUCUUGAAAGUCUUCACCCUAAAGUGACAUACAUCACUUCUGCUCUCAGUCCAUUGAACAUAACUUGUCUUAUGGCUUCAACUAGCUGCAAGGGCCUCUGGGAAAUGUAGUCCUGGUCUAGGCAGUCAAUAAACAUCCUGCUGGCUCUGCCACAGAAGGCCUUUCUAAGAUGUUCUUUGAGCUGAGACGUGAGAGCCAAAGUGUGAGAGCUACUUGAAAACUGUGAAAAUGGAGUUCCCAAAGUGGGAACAGCAAGUG